GAUGCUGAGAUGCCUCCCCU
RNAcentral lists this small nuclear RNA (20 nucleotides) under Arabidopsis thaliana (thale cress). RNAcentral describes it as "snRNA_07974". Lineage: Eukaryota; Viridiplantae; Streptophyta; Magnoliopsida; Brassicales; Brassicaceae. The record is from RNAcentral.